This 253-nucleotide ribosomal RNA is filed under the name uncultured bacterium. RNAcentral describes it as "partial 16S ribosomal RNA". It matches the Rfam family "Bacterial small subunit ribosomal RNA", at positions 524 to 776 of the family's 1533-position model. The record is from RNAcentral.
GACGAACCGUGCGAACGUUGUUCGGAUUCACUGGGCUUAAAGGGCGCGUAGGUGGUUUGCCAAGUCGGGGUUGAAAUCUUUCGGCUUAACCGGAAAAGUGGCUUCGAUACUGGCAAGCUGGAGGGAGGUAGGGGCGGAUGGAACUUCCGGUGGAGCGGUGAAAUGUGUUGAUAUCGGAAGGAACGCCGGUGGCGAAAGCGAUCCGCUGGACCUCUUCUGACACUGAGGCGCGAAAGCCAGGGGAGCAAACGGG